Ribosomal RNA from Cricetulus griseus (Chinese hamster), 113 nucleotides. The record is from Ensembl. Lineage: Eukaryota; Metazoa; Chordata; Mammalia; Rodentia; Cricetidae.
AUUGACAGCCACACCCCUGGCCCUGCACAGUCUCGUUUGUUCUCAGAAGCUAAGCAGGGUCUGGCCUGUUUAGUGCUUGGAUGGGAGAUUCAGAGAGAAGUCUGUCGUUAAUC